Molecule: ribosomal RNA, 424 nt
Filed under: uncultured bacterium
Lineage: Bacteria
Description: bacterial SSU rRNA
Rfam family: Bacterial small subunit ribosomal RNA
Source: RNAcentral
AUCUUGCGCAAUGGACGAAAGUCUGACGCAGCCACGCCGCGUGAGUGAAGAAGGCCUUCGGGUUGUAAAGCUCUGUCGUGCGGGAAGAAAACCCGGAGGGUGAAUAGCUCUUCGGCUUGACGGUACCGCAAAAGGAAGCACCGGCUAACUCCGUGCCAGCAGCCGCGGUAAUACGGAGGGUGCAAGCGUUGCUCGGAAUUAUUGGGCGUAAAGGGCAGGUAGGUGGUCUCAUUUGUCUGGGGUGAAAGCCCAGGGCUUAACCCUGGAAGUGCCUCAGAAACGGUGAGACUGGAGUGCUGGAGAGGGUCGUGGAAUUCCCGGUGUAGCGGUGAAAUGCGUAGAGAUCGGGAGGAACACCAGAGGCGAAGGCGGCGACCUGGACAGCAACUGACACUCAACUGCGAAAGCGUGGGGAGCAAACAGG